UCCGAGAUAUCAGGUCCGCUCC
RNAcentral lists this non-coding RNA (22 nucleotides) under Arabidopsis thaliana (thale cress). The record is from RNAcentral. Lineage: Eukaryota; Viridiplantae; Streptophyta; Magnoliopsida; Brassicales; Brassicaceae.